Tachysurus fulvidraco (yellow catfish) is the source of this 450-nucleotide long non-coding RNA. RefSeq lists it as uncharacterized. The record is from RefSeq and is a predicted model, not a curated record. Lineage: Eukaryota; Metazoa; Chordata; Actinopteri; Siluriformes; Bagridae. The transcript is spliced from 3 exons.
CCUAAGAACGGGGAACAUCCGGGGUCUAUCCAAAAGUCGAUAGCUGUAGUAACCCCCACAGCUCAGACCAGUUUUACAAACUACGGAAGACACCGGAACAACGUCUGACUCCGAUAGUUCAGAUUUUUUUGGAUACCGUCAUUGAAGGAGUAAGAAACUACAAUCAACCCCCUUGAAGAAAAUUCCAACAUUGGAGACACUCUCUUCAGGAUUUUUUCAGCUAAGGGAUAGAAUAACUGAAAACUUUGAGCAUGUCUACAGUGAGUAUGUUCAAUCCUUGCAUAAUACUCUGGAAUCCUUAAAUUGCUGUGUUAUGGUGAAUAAAAGAAAUGUUAAGACAAUAUUAUUUUAGAAAUGGCUCAGAAGCGUUCGAGUAAUUCUCCCUCUUCAGAAGCUAAAAAAAUUAGAAUUGAAAAUGACCCUACAUCAUCACAUGAUCUCUGCUUUGGU